AGUAACACUCUCAUCCAGGCGUGGAUAUUGUUCUUCUUUUUGCGAGGGAAGCAAGCUGGACGAAUCGGAAACUGACGCGUGGCGCCAGCUCAUUUUCUGAAGCUUCCCGCCCGAAUACCGAGGAAUGUACGUAUUUCCAUGGGGCCAAGCUCAACAAGAAGAUGGAAACUGUUAACAGGUCCACCUUUAAGUGGUGGUGGUUGUUGCCCCUUGUCGCCCUCAACCUUCCAUAUCUUCUUCUUCAUGUUUGACUUCUCUUGGUUUGCUGAUAAAUUAACCUCCUUUAAUUCCUUUAUC
Non-coding RNA from Arachis ipaensis, 297 nucleotides. NCBI's taxonomy places the organism in Eukaryota, Viridiplantae, Streptophyta, Magnoliopsida, Fabales, Fabaceae. The record is from RefSeq and is a predicted model, not a curated record.